RNAcentral lists this ribosomal RNA (465 nucleotides) under uncultured bacterium. RNAcentral describes it as "partial 16S ribosomal RNA". It matches the Rfam family "Bacterial small subunit ribosomal RNA", at positions 338 to 795 of the family's 1533-position model. The record is from RNAcentral.
CCUACGGGUGGCAGCAGUAGGGAAUCUUCCACAAUGGGCGAAAGCCUGACGGAGCAACGCCGUGUGGGUGAAGAAGGUCUUCGGAUCGUAAAACUCUGUUGUUAGAGAAGAAAGCGCGUGAGAGUAACUGUUCAUGUUUUGACGGUAUCUAACCAGAAAGCCACGGCUAACUACGUGCCAGCAGCCGCGGUAAUACGUAGGUGGCAAGCGUUAUCCGGAUUUAUUGGGCGUAAAGGGAACGCAGGCGGUCUUUUAAGUCUGAUGUGAAAGCCCUCGGCUUAACCGGGGAAGUGCAUUGGAAACUGGGAGACUUGAGUGCAGAAGAGGAGAGUGGAACUCCAUGUGUAGCGGUGAAAUGCGUAGAUAUAUGGAGGAACACCAGUGGCGAAGGCGGCUCUCUGGGCUGUAACUGACGCUGAGGUUCGAAAGCGUGGGGAGCAAACAGGAUUAGAUACCCCAGUAGUC